UGGCUCAGAACGAACGCUGGCGGCGCGUUUAAGCAUGCAAGUCGAGCGGCAAGGGCCUUCGGGCCCCUAGAGCGGCGGACGGGUGAGUAACACGUGGACAAUCUGCCCCCCGGCCCGGGAUAGCCCAGGGAAACCUGGAUUAAUACCGGAUGAGACGGGACCCGCGAUGGCGGGAUCCGGGAAAGGCGCUGCGGCGCCGCCGGGGGAUGAGUCUGCGUCCCAUUAGCUAGACGGCGGGGUAACGGCCCACCGUGGCGACGAUGGGUAGCCGGCCUGAGAGGGUGGACGGCCACAUUGGAACUGAGACACGGUCCAGACUCCUACGGGAGGCAGCAGCUAAGAAUCUUCCGCAAUGGGCGAAAGCCUGACGGAGCGACGCCGCGUGAACGAAGAAGGCCGUGAGGUUGUAAAGUUCUUUUCGGGAGGGGGAACAACCGUGGCAGGGAAUGGCCGCGGGAUGACGUGAAUCCCGGAAUAAGCCCCGGCUAACUACGUGCCAGCAGCUGC
RNAcentral lists this ribosomal RNA (507 nucleotides) under uncultured bacterium. RNAcentral's name for it is "bacterial SSU rRNA". It matches the Rfam family "Bacterial small subunit ribosomal RNA", at positions 20 to 518 of the family's 1533-position model. The record is from RNAcentral.